UACGAAGGGGGCUAGCGUUGUUCGGAAUUACUGGGCGUAAAGCGCACGUAGGCGGAUAUUUAAGUCAGGGGUGAAAUCCCAGAGCUCAACUCUGGAACUGCCUUUGAUACUGGGUAUCUCGAGUAUGGAAGAGGUGAGUGGAAUUCCGAGUGUAGAGGUGAAAUUCGUAGAUAUUCGGAGGAACACCAGUGGGCGAAGGCGGCUCACUGGUCCG
Molecule: ribosomal RNA, 214 nt
Filed under: uncultured bacterium
Lineage: Bacteria
Description: partial 16S ribosomal RNA
Rfam family: Bacterial small subunit ribosomal RNA
Source: RNAcentral